GAUGAACGCUGGCGGCGUGCCUAAUACAUGCAAGUCGAGCGAACGGACGAGAAGCUUGCUUCUCUGAUGUUAGCGGCGGACGGGUGAGUAACACGUGGAUAACCUACCUAUAAGACUGGGAUAACUUCGGGAAACCGGAGCUAAUACCGGAUAAUAUUUUGAACCGCAUGGUUCAAAAGUGAAAGACGGUCUUGCUGUCACUUAUAGAUGGAUCCGCGCUGCAUUAGCUAGUUGGUAAGGUAACGGCUUACCAAGGCAACGAUGCAUAGCCGACCUGAGAGGGUGAUCGGCCACACUGGAAGUGAGACACGGUCCAGACUCCUACGGGAGGCAGCAGUAGGGAAUCUUCCGCAAAGGGCGAAAGCCUGACGGAGCAACGCCGCGUGAGUGAUGAAGGUCUUCGGAUCGUAAAACUCUGUUAUUAGUGAAGAACAUAUGUGUAAGUAACUGUGCACAUCUUGACGGUACCUAAUCAGAAAGCCACGGCUAACUACGUG
RNAcentral lists this ribosomal RNA (497 nucleotides) under uncultured bacterium. RNAcentral describes it as "partial 16S ribosomal RNA". It matches the Rfam family "Bacterial small subunit ribosomal RNA", at positions 28 to 507 of the family's 1533-position model. The record is from RNAcentral.